Long non-coding RNA from Oxyura jamaicensis (ruddy duck), 2239 nucleotides. RefSeq lists it as uncharacterized. The record is from RefSeq and is a predicted model, not a curated record. The transcript has 5 exons. NCBI's taxonomy places the organism in Eukaryota, Metazoa, Chordata, Aves, Anseriformes, Anatidae.
UACUGGAGGGGCUACGCAUCCCCCUGAGCCGUUUUAGUAUGUUGAUGUUUGCUGUUAGGAAAUUGAUAAUUCUUAGCAUGUAGACGAUCUUUCCUAAGCAGCCUGAACGGCCACGGCUCUGUGCGCAGGCACCCUGGGAAGCACAGGCUGCAUGCUUACCUUCGCUCCUCUCGGAGCUUCAAGCCCAGGAAAACUCCUGUUCAAACACAUGGGGAUGGAAAAUGAGGCUUGUUCUAAUAAGAAACUAAAUCACGAAGACAGAAAGCUUCUGGCAUCUCCAUCUCGUUGGCUCCUACCUCCAUCUAUGGCAUGUUUACAAGAAAACAUUUAUCGCCGGAGUGCUUGCCGGCAAUAAGGGAGGAGAUGAGAGCAACAGCUUUUAAGCGGCGGUCUCCACGCUUGGCCACCAGGAGGAAACCCAGGGUAGCCCCAAAAAUUACUGCCUGGCCACAGCGAGCUCAGAGUGAGGCUGAGAAGCAGAGCGGUGAGCCGCCUUGGAGGAGCUGGGCUCACUGGCUCUGGCCAGCUCAGGACCCGGCACCCUCUUGCCCCAUCCGGGCAUCGUGGCUGCCCACCUUGAAGCGGUGUGCUUCCAACAGCCGACGUCUCCUGCCUGGUGGUCUGAUGGUGAGGAUGAAAUGUUGCUCGUAGGGCUUUGAAACGACUUGGACACCUGCUCCCUGUAGAAGUCAAGAUGUGGCCGUACCCUGCACUCACACAGUGACUUAAUGAUAUCUCCUGUUUCUGCAGUGGUGCAGGGGCUGGGAUGGGGGCUGUGGCUGAGUGCUCUCAGCCUGCACCAUGAAAGACCUUCAGCUAAGUAACCUCUAGCUGUAAUGCUGCGGAUGGGAAGAGACAGACAACCCCCUUCCCGGAGACCUGGAGGAAUAGAUGAAAGGUGGGAGAGGCAGACGGGUAUCAGGAGCUGGGCUGGGGUCACUAGAUGGUGCUGUUGAUCUUGAAAUGGGAACAGACAGCUCAGAGGAAGGCAUCUCCUGAAGAUUGCACCCAGAACACCUGCCCAAAAUUAUGUCUGACUGACAGCAUCUCACCUGCUUCCCAAACACCACGUAGACUUGCCCUUCAUGCUCUGGCACUGAAGCCAUAGAAAUGAACUACAUCAAACGUGGGAAGUUCAGAAAUUGGAUGAGUGCUGUGGUCCCACCUCACAGCCUUAUCUCUGCCCUUCAAGAGCCUGCAGGAACAGCGCAUGGGGGAGGAUAUUUUAAAGCCUGGACCGCAGAAGAAAUACAUGUGAAAAGUGACCACCAGAACAGGCUACUUUAUGUGGAGUACCACGUAUUACCUCCCGUCUCCAUGCCUUUGGUUGUGACUGAGCCACGGUUGCCUGUAGACAGCCAGGAGAGCUCAUGCACUGAUGCAGAACAUCAUUUCGGGAUCAGGUUUGUUGGGUUUAACAAGCAGAAGGCAGUUGUGAGCUGGCAGCAGGUAUAGCAGUGGUGCAGGGCAGCGAACGAUAUCGUGCUGGGCAGUGGUCUCACCCUUGGGACUAGCAGCGCACAGAAAGUGUCAAAGUGUGUAAAGUUUUAGGGGCAAUGUUUUCCAGGCAAAAAUUCCCAAAGACAGUGCAGGUGGAGGAGCCGUGCACAAGGCAUGCCCCGGGGUCAUGGUUCCUGGGGAGGAAACAGCAGCUGGGAGUGCUGGUAGCGACCUGGGUCUGAAAUGCUGCUGCAAAGCAGGCAGAUGUGCACGGUGUACAAAGUUGUUAGAAUUCAGUUUAUAUUCUGAUGACACCCUGUUUAAGGACCAGAGACUCUCAUUUGGUAAGGACGGGCCUGAAUAUUGGUAAGAGCUGGUGAAAAAGUUUAGGACACCAUGUCCCUUUGAACUGUAUCCCGUACACAGCUUUUACCUGUUGUUCCCUUUCGAGGUGUGGCUUUUACUCAUACCCAGCAUGAAGACAGCUGAACAAAGACAGCUCUUGCUGCUCAUCCCUGCAUCAGGCCAUAUAACUCAAUGGAAAAAGCAGAUUUUUAACACCCCUUCCCAGAGUGUGGCCCCGCUAACCCAGGUACUCCACUAUCUAGCUCCUGUGUCACUCAGAGCCCUGAUCCCAGAACGUAUGAAGGUCUCUGUAUUGCUGAUAUGGCCCAAAUCACCCCAAGAAUCCAACUUUUACUCUUUAGUAUUAAAAACAACCAGCUGAAACCUAGGCCCAUGCCAUCCAUUUGGGCAUGAGCAGAGCCAUAUCUGAGCCUAAGCUGUACACACACACACA